AGAGUUUGAUCCUGGCUCAGGAUGAACGCUAGCGGCAGGCCUAACACAUGCAAGUCGAGGGGUAUAGAGAGCUUGCUUUCUAGAGACCGGCGCACGGGUGAGUAACGCGUAUGCAACCUACCUUUCACAGGGGAAUAGCCCGGAGAAAUUCGGAUUAAUGCUCCAUAGUUUAUUUAGAUGGCAUCAUUUGAAUAAUAAAGAUUUAUCGGUGAAAGAUGGGCAUGCGUAUCAUUAGCUAGUUGGUGUGGUAACGGCAUACCAAGGCGACGAUGAUUAGGGGUCCUGAGAGGGAGAUCCCCCACACUGGUACUGAGACACGGACCAGACUCCUACGGGAGGCAGCAGUGAGGAAUAUUGGUCAAUGGAGGCAACUCUGAACCAGCCAUGCCGCGUGCAGGAUGACGGUCCUAUGGAUUGUAAACUGCUUUUGUACGGGAAGAAAUGUUACUACGUGUAGUAAUUUGACGGUACCGUAAGAAUAAGGAUCGGCUAACUCCGUGCCAGCCGCCGCGGUAAUAC
RNAcentral lists this ribosomal RNA (519 nucleotides) under uncultured bacterium. Its description in RNAcentral is "bacterial SSU rRNA". It matches the Rfam family "Bacterial small subunit ribosomal RNA", at positions 8 to 526 of the family's 1533-position model. The record is from RNAcentral.